Molecule: ribosomal RNA, 397 nt
Filed under: uncultured bacterium
Lineage: Bacteria
Description: partial 16S ribosomal RNA
Rfam family: Bacterial small subunit ribosomal RNA
Source: RNAcentral
AUACGUAGGGGGCGAGCGUUGUCCGGAAUGAUUGGGCGUAAAGGGCGCGUAGGCGGCCCGGUAAGUCUGGGGUGAAAGUCCUGUUUUUAACAUGGGACUUGCUUUGGAUACUGUCGGGCUUGAGUGCAGGAGAGGUAAGUGGAAUUCCCAGUGUAGCGGUGAAAUGCGUAGAGAUUGGGAGGAACACCAGUGGCGAAGGCGACUUACUGGACUGUAACUGACGCUGAGGCGCGAAAGUGUGGGGAGCAAACAGGAUUAGAUACCCUGGUAGUCCACACUGUAAACGAUGAAUGCUAGGUGUAGGGGGUAUCGACCCCUUCUGUGCCGCAGUCAACACAAUAAGCAUUCCGCCUGGGGAGUACGGCCGCAAGGUUGAAACUCAAAGGAAUUGACGGGG